Molecule: long non-coding RNA, 1277 nt
Filed under: Parus major (Great Tit)
Lineage: Eukaryota; Metazoa; Chordata; Aves; Passeriformes; Paridae
Description: lncRNA (ENSPMJG00000003041.1)
Source: RNAcentral
CCGGGAUUUCAGGGAUUUCAGGGAUUUCAGGGGUUUGGGGGUCAGGGAGGAGGAAGAGGAGGAAGAGGAAGGUCGGGGUCUCCAGGUGGAUCCGGAGCUGGGAUCUGUCCCAGGGGUUGAGCACCAGGAUCGGGGUUGGGAUUUGGGGCAGGUCCUGAUCCCGAAUUCCCACAGGAAUUGUGGAUGAUGUCAGGGUCAGGAUCGGGGUCAGGGUCAGGAUCGGGGCUGGGAUUUGGGGAUGGAUCUGAUCCCGAAUUCCUGCAGGAAUUGUGGAUGAUGUCAGGGUCAGGAUUGGGGUCAGGAUCAGGAUCGGGGACGGGAUUUGGGGCAGGUCCUGAUCCCAAAUUCCCACAGGAAUUGUGGAUGAUGUCAGGGUCAGGAUUGGGGUCAGGGUCAGGAUCGGGGACGGGAUUUGGGGCAGGUCCUGAUCCCAAAUUCCCACAGGAAUUGUGGAUGAUGUCAGGAUCAGGAUUGGGGUCAGGAUCAGGAUCGGGGACGGGAUUUGGGGCAGGUCCUGAUCCCGAAUUCCCACGGCAGGAAUUGUGGAUGAUGUCAGGGUCAGGAUUGGGGUCAGGAUCAGGAUCGGGGCUGGGAUUUGAGGAUGGAUCUGAUCCCAAAUUCCCACGGCAGGAAUUGCGAUCAGGAUCAGGAUCGGGGUCAGGAUUUUGGGGCCGAAUCUGAUCCCGAAUUUCCACAGGAACUGGAAGCAGCCUCGGGAUCAGGAUCAGGAUCAGGGCUGGGAUUUGGGGAUGGAUCCUGAUCCCGAAUUCCUGCAGAAAUUGUGGACGGUGUCAGGGUCAGGAUUGGGGUCAGGAUUGGGGUCAGGAUUGGGAUUUGGGGACGGAUCUGAUCCCGAAUUUCCACAGGAACUGGAAGCAGCCUCGGGAUCAGGAUCAGGAUCAGGAGUGGGGCUGGGAUUUUGGGACGGAUCCUGAUCCCGAAUUCCCACAGCAGGAAUUGUGAACGGCCUCGGGAUCGGGGUCAGGAUUGGGGUCGGGAUCGGGAUCGGGGCUGGGCUUUGGGGCCGAAGCUGAUCCCGGAUUUCCACGGCAGGAAUUGCGAGCGGUGUCGGGAUCAGGAUCAGGAUCAGGAUCAGGAGUGGGGCUGGGAUUUGGGGACGGAUCCUGAUCCCGAGUUUCCGCAGGAAUUGCGAGCGGCCUCGGUGGUGCAGUCGCAGCCGCUGGGGGGGGGGAAGGAGGAGAAGCUGCACUCGCCCGUGAUCCGAACCGAGACCUUCAGCCCCCCCCUGCGCCAGGAGCCCCCCAAGGGCCACCCCG